RNAcentral lists this ribosomal RNA (266 nucleotides) under uncultured Syntrophus sp. RNAcentral's name for it is "partial 16S ribosomal RNA". It matches the Rfam family "Bacterial small subunit ribosomal RNA", at positions 1113 to 1382 of the family's 1533-position model. Lineage: Bacteria; Pseudomonadati; Thermodesulfobacteriota; Syntrophia; Syntrophales; Syntrophaceae. The record is from RNAcentral.
AAUUGCCAUCAUUCAUUGGGCACUUUAAAGAGACUGCCGGUGUUAAACCGGAGAAGUGGGGAUGACGUCAAGUCCUCAUGGCCUUUAUGCCCAGGGCUACACACGUGCUACAAUGGGUGGUACAAAGAGAUGCAACCUCGCAAGAGCAAGCAAACCUCAAAAAAGCCAUCCUCAGUUCGGAUUGGAGUCUGCAACUCGACUCCAUGAAGUCGGAAUCGCUAGUAAUCGCGGAUCAGCACGCCGCGGUGAAUACGUUCCCGGGCCUU